Long non-coding RNA from Oreochromis aureus, 611 nucleotides. RefSeq lists it as uncharacterized. Lineage: Eukaryota; Metazoa; Chordata; Actinopteri; Cichliformes; Cichlidae. The transcript has 3 exons. The record is from RefSeq and is a predicted model, not a curated record.
CAGUGAAUUUGCCUCCUUUCUCUCACUUGAAGCAGAAGUAGCAUGCAACCCAGUCACUUCCAUACAUGCACUUCGCUCUACGGAAACGAAUGAUGACAAAAGAAACACAAGAGAAGUCAAAAGAAACAAGGCAAGUGUAUUCAACAUUAACACAACUGAACGAGAUGCAAAGACUAAAAUACACAACAGUUCUUCAUGCACACUGUGCCAAGAGUUGCAUCCACUUAUAAAAUGCCCAAACUUCCUGCAAAUGACCCUGGAAAUGAAAAGGAAACAUGUAAAGGAUAAUAAACAUUGUUAUGGUUGUUUAAAGCAAGGUCAUAGUGCUAAGGACUGCAAACGGCGCCUCACUUGUGAAACAUGCACCAAGAGACACCCGACCUGUCUUCACGAUGAGAACUACAGCACUAGUCUGCAAAGAGAAAGGCAAGAUCAAGUACGUUUUCCACUCACUGCUUACUGGGAUCCAACAGAUCCAAGUGGUAAAGUGGUAAAGGUCAGUGUUUACCUGACUCGUGGUCCCGUAUGCAGUAGUCUGAUGGUCACCUGUGCGGCGGAAGUCAGCCAUGGCCAACCAGCAGGUCCUGACGCUACAUGACCCACUGACACCA